ACACGAAAUUUCCUUUCUCAGUAUUUCAGAGUAUUUCCUUAAAUUUUGCUCUUUCGAAAGCGAAAAGUCAAUGUUAUUAUCGUUUUCUUUACUUGUAUUCGGCAGAAAUAGUAAAUGGUUGCAAGGCGAAACAAACAACAGCUAUAAAGUAUUGUAAAAGCGAGCAAAUAAAGGCGACAAUGUUAAAACAUACACGCCAAAACCGAUUUUGUACCGAAGCGUACUGGAUUAGCCUGUUUACACUGCUCCGGCACAUACCGGAUUACUUUUCAUAUCACCUCCAAAGCGGAGUGAUUUUUGCUCCGCGUCGCGUACCGGAUUACUGUGGCGUAGUGUAAACAGCAGCCGAAUCCGGUAUGAAAAUCGCUACGCUCCGAUGCAAUCCGGUAUAGUGUAAACGGGGCCUCAAGGAGUAUGAUCUCGCUGUACUACUGAAGCUUGUAUGGAGGCAUGUAAAAUAUAUAAGGCGAGAGAAGGAGAUAGUCAUGUGUGUAAAAUUCAGUAUCCCUGAAAGGCUGGCUGCGGCACAGACGCAUUAUUUGGUACACACGAAUUCUGAGUACGUGGUAUUCGGACACGAGAAUUCAUUUCUUCGGGUAACGAUGUGAACUGCCGCACUGAACCACCUUGUGAUGCGUUUUCUUCACGUUUUUGCGAAGAAUGCUGUAAAUUGGUCGCCGCGCUUAAGAUUAGACUGAACAAAAUCCUGAACAUCUGGUAUUCUCGCCACUACUUGGCACGCGCAAUUUUGCCGCGUCGCUCAACUUCCGUUUUUCCGAUUUACUUCCGCUUCCUCAUCUUUUAUUGGUAUUUACUUCCGUUUCCUCAUCUUUUAUUUGUAUCGGUUUAUCUUUUAUUUGUAUCGGUUUAUCUUUUAGUUGUAUCGGUUUAUCUUUUAGUUGUAUCGGUUUAUGACAUCGAUGUAUUUGUACAUAACAUCAAUGUAUAGCAUAUAACAUCAAUUUAUAGCGCAUAAACUCGAUUGAUACAUUUCAGAUAUUUUGUCCGCUAAAAAAACUUCAUAACCCC
Molecule: non-coding RNA, 1029 nt
Organism: Paramuricea clavata
Lineage: Eukaryota; Metazoa; Cnidaria; Anthozoa; Malacalcyonacea; Plexauridae
Source: the annotation of a GenBank genome assembly